AUUGAACGCUGGCGGCAGGCCUAACACAUGCAAGUCGAGCGGUAGAGAGGUGCUUGCAUCUCUUGAGAGCGGCGGACGGGUGAGUAAUGCCUAGGAAUCUGCCUAGUGGUGGGGGAUAACGUUCGGAAACGGACGCUAAUACCGCAUACGUCCUACGGGAGAAAGCGGGGGAUCUUCGGACCUCGCGCCAUUAGAUGAGCCUAGGUCGGAUUAGCUAGUUGGUGAGGUAAUGGCUCACCAAGGCGACGAUCCGUAACUGGUCUGAGAGGAUGAUCAGUCACACUGGAACUGAGACACGGUCCAGACUCCUACGGAGGCAGCAGUGGGGAAUAUUGGACAAUGGGCGAAAGACCUGAUCCAGCCAUGCGCGUGUGUGAAGAAGGUCUUCGGAUUGUAAAG
RNAcentral lists this ribosomal RNA (399 nucleotides) under uncultured bacterium. Its description in RNAcentral is "bacterial SSU rRNA". It matches the Rfam family "Bacterial small subunit ribosomal RNA", at positions 30 to 430 of the family's 1533-position model. The record is from RNAcentral.